GCGUCACCAUGGGGUCAUCGUCGAUGUUGAACUUGUUGUCGGUGGACCAGGUUUCCAUGGCGACCAGCACGAUUCGGGUAUUGAGCUGUUCCCUGAAAAUCUAAGGAAGAUGUAUACAUUUCUGAAUAGCCUGCUUUGUACGAUCAUUUUCAAGGACAUGGCAAAAAAGGGUGACCUUUGUGAACCUAUAUCGGCCUAUCAUCUUGCAGAAGUGACCUGCAGGCUAGAGGACAUGCACACACAGUCACAAAUAAUAAAACGUUUACAUUUUCUGUUAGUUUUGUUGCAUUGCAACUGCUGACCAAAAAGUCUAAGAUCCGAAAAAAAAUAGAAAAAAAAA
This is a long non-coding RNA of Oryzias melastigma (Indian medaka), 340 nucleotides long. RefSeq lists it as uncharacterized. The transcript is spliced from 2 exons. NCBI's taxonomy places the organism in Eukaryota, Metazoa, Chordata, Actinopteri, Beloniformes, Adrianichthyidae. The record is from RefSeq and is a predicted model, not a curated record.